UGUGCAUCAAGAUGGGAUCUAUCAACCUUGAUAGAGAGAAAUAAUCCUAUAAAAUUUGAGAAGUUAUGUCUGAGAGUCUAUGGCCACAGCAGCGUGAUUAUUGAAAAAGAGUUUUCAUAAGAAUCAUAAAUGGACUUGAGCUAAUCGAAUCUAUCAUAUGACUGAUGAUGAGAUUUGAUGAUUUAUUCAUGACCUGCCAUC
This 201-nucleotide long non-coding RNA is filed under the name Elaeis guineensis (African oil palm). RNAcentral describes it as "long non-coding RNA (EGUI_LNC054204)". The record is from RNAcentral. Lineage: Eukaryota; Viridiplantae; Streptophyta; Magnoliopsida; Arecales; Arecaceae.